This 459-nucleotide ribosomal RNA is filed under the name uncultured bacterium. RNAcentral describes it as "partial 16S ribosomal RNA". It matches the Rfam family "Bacterial small subunit ribosomal RNA", at positions 338 to 795 of the family's 1533-position model. The record is from RNAcentral.
CCUACGGGAGGCAGCAGUGAGGAAUAUUGGUCAAUGGCCGAGAGGCUGAACCAGCCAAGUCGCGUGAGGGAAGACGGCCCUACGGGUUGUAAACCUCUUUUGUCGGGGAGCAAAGCGCACCGCGUGUGGUUCAUUGAGCGUACCCUACGAAAAAGCAUCGGCUAACUCCGUUACAGCAGCCGCGGUAAUACGGAGGAUGCGAGCGUUAUCCGGAUUUAUUGGGUUUAAAGGGUGCGCAGGCGGAGGUGCAAGUCAGCGGUCAAAUUGCGGGGCUCAACCCCGUACUGCCGUUGAAACUGCAUCCCUUGAGUGCGCGAGAAGUAUGCGGAAUGCGUGGUGUAGCGGUGAAAUGCAUAGAUAUCACGCAGAACUCCGAUUGCGAAGGCAGCAUACCGGCGCGCAACUGACGCUCAUGCACGAAAGCGUGGGUAUCGAACAGGAUUAGAUACCCCUGUAGUC